This 5840-nucleotide long non-coding RNA is filed under the name Coffea arabica (coffee). RNAcentral describes it as "long non-coding RNA (CARA_LNC002698)". The record is from RNAcentral. Lineage: Eukaryota; Viridiplantae; Streptophyta; Magnoliopsida; Gentianales; Rubiaceae.
UUUUUUUUUUUUUUUUUUUUUUUGCGCAGUAGGGUAUCUGGGCUCAUGGACCGGUAAUACCGUACGGCCCAACUAAUCCCUACUGCGGGCUGGGAGCGGCUCGCCCCAAGCGUCACCAGCCUCGGUGAUGCCGGGAUUCGACCCCUGGACGUGGCUCUCCCCCAACUGGGACUACAACCACGGAGCCCAACAUUUAAAAUUUUAUAUGGGCAUUAUUGUGUGUACCAUGUUCCCUCGUUCCGCCCAUACUUUAACCCAAGUAUUCCCAUUUGAAAAAAAGAAGGGCAAAAUACAUUUUAUUCCCCUAUAUUUUAAUGAUUUUAUACAUAACCCCCUAUAAUUUCGAAAGUCAUAUAUGAUCCUAUUAUAGUUUGGAUUAAAAUGUUAAAGCGAUAAAAAUGAUCAUUUGUAAUGAAACCUAUGAAAGUGUUGAAAUUACCCUUUCUUAAAAACUAAAAUAGCUGAAAUAACCAAAAUAUAUAUAUAUAAUGUACAUGAUAUGUUUUACUAUAAAACCCCCUUAUGGCUUAGUAUUUUACCACAUAACUCCUUUAUAGUUUUCAAAAUAUAUAUAAUGCCCCGUAGUUAAUAAAUAAUUUUCAACUUUACAUAAGGGUACUUUUAAUAUUUUAGUUGACUCUGUUAUGGAAUACAAAUUUCUUCAUUUUGACACUUUUAAUCUAAAUCAUAAAGGGGUUAUGUAUAGUUUUUAAAAUUAUAUGGGAGAUUAUAUGAAAAAAGCGCUAAAUCAUAGAAAGGUAAAAUGUAUUUUGCCCAAAAAAGUGAGAACAAGUAUUCGUUCUUGGAAGAAAAUUUUGAAAUGUCCCUACCAUUACUAGUAUUACAUCAAGGGGAUUAGCGGCAGCUAUAUGGUUGUGACUACAUCUUAAUGUCUCUAAGUGAAUACAUUCUACAUUAACAUUAGUUUCUGGACAAAUUAAUAAUGUUCUUGGGCCAUUCUUUCAUCUUUUAUCUCCAAUUGAUGUCAAGUUGGAUGCUUAAUACUUGAGGAAUCAUGGAUGCCAAUAUUAAAAAUGCUUCGAUACCUCCUGAUCCUGCAACAAUUUAACAAUGUAGCAUACAAGAAGAUUGGAAGAAGUAGAUCAGACUUAUGGCAUUGAAAUUGAAACCUUCAAACACUUUCUGAUAUACUCUGAAGUGAAUCAAAAGGUGCACUGGGACUUACAAUAGUAGCCUUUCUAAGUAGCCAUUCUCAACCUUACAACAGUAUUCCCUCAUCAUCCAGAAAAAGGAAGCUGAACUGGAUAGGGAGAGUUUAUUGCAGGAAACCACUCUAUAGAUUGAUAAAAAGUGACAAAAUUUCUGUGUUAAGCAGAAUUCAUUCACAAGCAACUACGAUAACCUGUUUUCCAACGUUGCGACCUCUAAAGAGACCUGCAAGGGCUGCAGGGACACUUUCAAGUCCUUCAGCGAUAUCUUCCACAUAUGUUAUCUUUUUCUCGCGGAUAUGAGGCAACAUAAGAUCCAAAAAUUUUGUGUAGAGGGGAUAGUAUUCAGCGGCAGAACAUCCUCGCAUGUUUACUCGCUUGUGAAUGAGCCACAUCAAGUUCUUUACUCCUUCAGGUUCAUCAAGAUUGUAUUGUGAGAUCAUUCCACAAACAGCAAUUCGACCAAACAUGUUCAUAUUUUGAAGGACAGCAUCUAGCAUCUUUCCACCGACAUUUUCAAAGUAGAUAUCGAUUCCAUCAGGGAAGUACCUGGUUUGAAACAAAAUUGAUGAUCAAUAACUGACACGGUAUUCAGUUUACUCUAAUGAAUGAAGCUAAUACUGGCUAAGAAAUGUUGAAUUCAGUUUACUCUAAUGAAUGAAGCUAAUACUGGCUAAGAAAUGUUGAAUUCAUCUUUCCUUUGCAAGCAGAAACUAUUUAGAUCAGAUCCUUGAGGCUGAAUUUUACAAAUUUUUUGGUAUAGAAACAGAAAAUUUGAGUGACAUAAGAAUUAGUAAUUAAGGAAAGAGGAAAUGUAUAGCAAAUCAAGUUCAAACAUUUAUCUGAAAAUCAGCUAGUCCCUGCUUUUCUUAUUCUUUUCUGCUUUUGUUGAUAGCAGAUCUUCAAAAGCUUGCUAACAAUAUUGGCUUGAGAAUACUUGUAUAGAAAGCCUAAUUAAAGAGUCACAGAUUAAGUUAAAAAAUUUUGAGUCAUGUAACUAUAGUCUAGUGAAUCAUCUUUCUGUAGUUCUGAGGAAAACUUAGACAUCAAGUGAUUAUUCCAAGGAAAAGAUAGAAUGGAAAAAAGUAGAUUACAGACCUUUUUAAAGCAGCAUCCAAGUCAUGUUCUUCCUUGUAAUUGAAAGCAUCAUCAAAACCAAACUUUUUCUUCAAAAGAUCAACCUUGUCAAAUAAUUAAUAGAAGCACAUGAAAGUUAGAAAUGGACCGUGGCUAAAAUCAAGUGAGGUUGAAGUUUUCACAAAUUUGUUUUGCUGGGUGAAAAGUGAAAGAGGGGGAGUAUGGAGUAGGAAAACAAGAUUAAGUUCAAACAUUUAGCAGGUAACACAGCAAAGGGACUGCAAAUGGUGGCAGACCCCGGUAGCAUACCCAAAUCAAAUAAUCGGAAUGGUUACAAAAGCCAAAUCACACUGGCUAGAUUUUCCAAAUUCUCAUAAUCAAACUUUUAGUUGAACUUGAUUUCAGAAGAUCCAGGCUUUGAUCACAAAGUUAAAGGAGAAACUACCAAACUGAGACUACUGACGGCCUGUAGUUAAGAGUAGAAGUAGCAGGCUGCAAAUUCAACUCGGUAUGAGGUUAUAGAAGUUGAUAAUUGUGCCAAACAUUUAACAGAAAUUCUUAAAAACAGUUGAUAUUUCAUAGUAGCUGCAUCCAUGCUAAUCAUUCAGACAUAAUGUUUGCCUGAGAUCUGAGGCUAAAGCUCAUCAAUAUUUCCUGUACAACUUGGAAGGAGCAAAGCAUAGGGGGUGGUCAAUUACCUUUUCUUUACUUCCAGCACUUCCAACUACAUAGCAGCCUGUCAGCUUUGCAAAUUGUCCAACGAGCUGGCCAACUGCACCAGAUGCUGCUGAGACAAAUACUUUCUCUCCUUUCUUGGGAUUACAGACCUCAUAAAAUCCACCAUAGGCAGUAAUACCAGCCAAACCUAAACAAAGUGAAAUGUUGCAGAAAGUAACAGCGGCAAUUAUGUCGAUGAAGUUUAUCUCUCAAUAACAUAGAUGAAUAGGAUGGGGACUGAAACAACUUUAAGACUAGACUAAAUUUCUGAUAUAAAGCAAAAAUUGUGCAGCCAAUAGACUGAAAAUCAUAUCAUGAUUUUUGAGUGUCAUGUAAAGCAGUGUAAGGCUGAUCAUUAGAUUCAUUGGCAUGCAUAGGUGAAAAUUAUCAAACAACUCACAAAUUCAGAUGCAUGAAAUUCCUAGAAAUACUAGAUUGUGGAUUUCUUGCUAUCAGAGUAUACUAUAGUUUAAAAAAUCAGAGCAUUAAAUUUUUAAGCUGCAAAUUCACUUGUUAACAAAUAUAGUAGUUAUCAAUCAAGCAUCGAACUUACCAAGAAUUCCAGUAUAGUAGCUAAGAGGGACAUCUGUGUGUUCGAUCUUGAAAAGCAAAUCAGUUUCUGCAAUGAGACUGUAUUCCUCCCAUCCAGCCAGUCCCCAUACCAAGUCAUCCUUCUUGAACUUUGGAUGGCUUGAAUCCACUACUUUAGCUACCACAAACCCGUAAAUAGGCUGCAGUUACCCCAUUACAAAUAGUCAAGUGUCAAAAUUUCAAAUCUUGAACUCUACAACUACCAACAAUCACCAUAAAUGACAACUUGCACCUGUCAAUACUUUCGUUUAAUUUUUUGGUUACAUAUCUUCCUCUCUAGUAGCAGAGUAAGUUGUUUUUUCAACUAAAUUUUUGGCAUAUAAAAGGAUCUCAUUCUUCAACAAGAUUGUAAGCGAUUUACCGGGGUUCUAGCUUCUGAGUCCAAAAUCAAGAAUCUUUCUCAAUCUCUGUAAAGAAAGCAAGCAGAGAAAAGGGUAUCCAUAAGCUAAAAUCUUUUAAGUUUGAACAUGUUCCGGUUGAUUACUAGCUGGAUCAUGUAACUGACUAACAUCUCAAGUAGACAAAUAUGCCAGCACCUUGCUUUGGACUAACAACAUAUAAAAUCCAAUUCAGAGAAUUAAAACAAGAGAUUAAAGCACAAACAAGAAAAAAAAGGAAUGUUUCUACAAGAAAUCUGAGAAUGUGAUCACAUACAGAGGCAGGCUUGUAAGCGGGAAACGGGGUUCUACUAUUGGGCGCCGGCUUUCGCAUUAGACCUCUCAUGAAAGGAUCACAUGACAAGUAGAGGUUCUUAACCAAUACCCCACUUGAGUUUUCUGGCACUUUCAAGCUGAUGGUAUUUUCUGUGCUGAUGAUCAUAUCUGAUUCUUUCGGGAAUCCAGUAACAUAGUCUUUCAACAGCACUUGCUUGUUCUUCACUACAUCAACCUCUGCUGCCAUUGCUGAAAUAUCAAUCUAUUUGCGGCAGAAUGUGUGUUCUGCGUGCUUGUGGACGCUGUAUAUACUUUAGAGCAGUGAACUCUUUUCAGGUUUGUUUGCUGGGAUUUUGGAGCAAAACUCUUCUGUUUUUAUAGAGGGAAAUGUCUAAGCUUUUGAUGUAGGUAAUGACAUCAGUAGCUGGAAAUAGAAAGUUAAAAAUAUGGAAGAUAAAAGAAACAAAAUGACUUGGAGGAGAGCUGCGUCAUGGCUUAAGUUCACCAUUUUGGGGAAAGCUUCAUCAUAGCUUACGUCACCAAAUUCGUUUUCUAAAAUUCAUAUAUCACUAACCUCCCCCUUUUUAUUUUCCCCACCAUUUUUAAUUCACCUGCUUUCUGUUUCUACAGCACAAUAAUUCUUGUAUCGCCUUUUUUUUUUCUUUUUUGGGCAAGCAAAUUUCCAACAAAUAAAUCAAGGAUAACAAAAUUUUUACAGUUCCCUUUAUAUAUAAACAAAUACAAUAGAUUAUUUCUAGCAGUUAAAGUUGAAAUUUUAAAAAUUAGAACUUUGGGAGGGUUCAAUUCCUCUACCGUCCUGCGUCUUAAUUCUCAUUCCUCUCUUGCUGGGUAUAUGUUCAUUUAAAAGCUACCAAGGUAAAAUUAAGUAUACCUGCUUUGAUGUUUCAGACUACAACCUUAACUUUCAUGUUUCGAAUUACAAGGUUUCGGCCUUUUGGGAGCUGCUUGAAAGCCCCAAUCUGAUUUUAGCCUAUAUGUUGGAGCAAAAUUUUUCUUCCCUUUUUUUUGGUCAAAAGAAAAAGUAACCCUUUAUAGGAGAAUGAAUAAUUUUGAAACCAAGGGACAGUAGAAAUAAAAGACUGCUUCAAGGGGCUUGGAUGGAACCAAACUUGAUUUGGCCUUAAGAGUUAAGAGUCUAAUGCCCUUAAAGAUUGAAUAGUUUUCAAUUUUGGAGUAAAUAUGCCCCCAUCAACCUAGUGGCUUCCCAUAUUAAAGCACAUCCCAUUGUCUUGGAAAUUGAGGUUCCUUAUAAAACAUGUGUUGUCCAGUGGUUUAUGGAAAGAAUUACUCUGUAAGCAGAGUAAUGCUUUUCACUUCAACUUGUAGCAUCACCCACGGAAGGUAGCAUUGUUUGCAUUAAACACCACAAGCAAAAGUAAAUCAUGAAUCAAAAUAAACAGGAAAUAAAGCUCCCGGCUGCAAGUAUUUAGUUAAAUCUAGAACAUUAAAAGCAUCAAUUAUCCUGAGCUGUAAUCCACUGUAAAGUAUCACAAUAGGAUCAUGUCACAAAGAACUUUUCCCAAGCUAAUCUCCUAACAGAGUUCAUGAAUAUCUGCUAUCCCAAAAGCUCCAAGUCAUCUCCUUGAGCCUAGGCCACAAGGGUGCUGGCAGU